CUGACGGAGCCCCCCCGCGUGAGGGAGGAAGUUUCUUGGGUUGUAACCUCUUAACUCAAGGAAGAACGCAAUGACGGUACUUGAGGAAUCAGCAUCGGCUAACUCCGUGCCAGCAGCCGCGGUGGUACGGACCAUGCAAGCGUUAUCCGGUUUGAUUGGGCGUAAAGCGUCCGCAGGUGGCGAUGUAAGUCUGCUGUUAAAGAGUGAGGCUCAACCUCAUAACCGCAGUGGAAACUACAUAGCCCGAGUUGCGUUCGGGGCAGAGGGAAUUCCUGGUGUAGCGGUGAAAUGCGUAGAUAUCAGGAAGAACACCGGUGGCGAAAGCGCUCUGCUAGACCGCAACUGACACUUUUGGACGAAAGCUAGGGGAGCGCAUGGGAUUAGAUA
This 387-nucleotide ribosomal RNA is filed under the name uncultured Nostoc sp. Its description in RNAcentral is "bacterial SSU rRNA". It matches the Rfam family "Bacterial small subunit ribosomal RNA", at positions 383 to 784 of the family's 1533-position model. Lineage: Bacteria; Bacillati; Cyanobacteriota; Cyanophyceae; Nostocales; Nostocaceae. The record is from RNAcentral.